AUCAUUUUGUGGUUAGCAACAGAAUGGAUGAUGAUAUAGUCCGAUCCUCAUGGUGACAUGAGAGGUGCGCCUGAAAUGGCGUGCCGAAACAAUUGGCCAGCAGGAGCGGUAAUACAGAGGCCCCAAGCAUUAUCCGGAAUCACUGGGCGUAAAGGGUGUCAAGGCGGUCAUGUUAGUCGUUCGUAAAAUCCUGGAGCUCAACUUCAGGCCCGCGAGCGAAACGGCAUGACUAGAGGUUGGAAGAGGUGCGUGGAACUCACGGUGUAGGGGUGAAAUCCGUUGAUAUCGUGGGGAACACCAAAGGCGAAGGCAGCGCACUGGUCCAAAUCUGACGCUCACACACGAAAGCCAGGGUAGCGAACGGGAUUAGAUACCCCGGUAGUCCUGGCCCUAAACGUUGCUCGCUCGUUCUACGGAGUAUCGACCCUCUGUGGGACUAAGCUAACGCGGUAAGCGAGCCGCCUGGGUAGUACGAUCGCAAGAUUAAAACUCAAAGGAAUAGACGGGGACUUGCACAAGCGGUGGAUCAUGUGGCUUAAUUCGUCGGUAAGCGAAGAACCUUACCCAGGCUAGAAAUCCAACUGCAUCCCAUCCGAAAGGGAGGGAGCCUUCGAGGGUGUUGGACAGGUGAUGCAUGGUUGUCGUCAGUUCGUGGCUUGAGCUGUUCCCUUCAGUGGGGUAACGAACGCAACCCUCGUUGUCUGUUAUAUAUGUCAGGCGAGACUGCCCCCUCACGGGGGAGGAAGGUGGGGAUGACGCCAAAUCAGCAUGUCCCUUGAUGCCUGGGGCUGCACACGUGAUACAAUGGUCGGUACAGAAGGACGCGAUACCGUAAGGUGGAGCAAAUCCCAAAAACCGACCCCAGUACGGAUCGAGGUCUGCAACCGACCUCGUGAAGCCGGAAUCGCUAGUAAUCGUGGGUCAGCCAUACCACGGUGAAUACGUUCUCAAGUCUUGUACUCACCGCCCGUCAACUCAGGGAAGUUGGAGGUACCCGAUAUCUUACUUUAGGUAGGACUACGGUAAAUUCAAUGACAAGGAGUAAGUCGUAACAAGGCACGGGUAGCGGAAGCUGCUCGUGGAACAUAUCCAAU
Molecule: ribosomal RNA, 1094 nt
Filed under: Minisyncoccota bacterium
Lineage: Bacteria; Bacillati; Minisyncoccota
Description: bacterial SSU rRNA
Rfam family: Bacterial small subunit ribosomal RNA
Source: RNAcentral